This 740-nucleotide long non-coding RNA is filed under the name Theropithecus gelada (gelada). Lineage: Eukaryota; Metazoa; Chordata; Mammalia; Primates; Cercopithecidae. The record is from RNAcentral.
UUCUGUGAGGUACAAAAAUUAAUAGCAUGUUAGAGUUCUGAUGGCAGUUGUUGAUUUUGAAUAAGUUUCAUUCCAUCCUAAUACCUUAAAAUAACUAAUUUGCUUUGCUUUCCAGGUAUUCCUCAUGACAAUCUGCCUCUAUCUUACAGACCAGCUUGUUGCCAUAUACCAUUGAAAAACCUUCAGAGCUGAGAGGUGUUAGUAACCAAUAACCUCUUUGGCUCUAAGGGCCAGCACCUUCUCUCUAGCACUCAAGAGUUUGGGGUAAGUGGCUUUGCAAUAGCUGCCAUCAAUGGCUGCUAUAUACAAUUUUCUGUGAUUUUUGUGUGUGAUAGCACUGUGGUCUGGGUGGAUGUGUACAGAUAGAACUGGCUUAACCCAAAUCUUUGAUCUCCUGGACCACCAAGUGAUGAUCACCUGCUCACCAGUGAUGAGUUGAAUACCGCCCCAGUCUGAUCAAUGUGACUGAAAGGUAUUUUCUGAGCUGUGAGCCUGCCUUCCAGUGACAACUUCUAAAAAUUACAAGUUAUUUGAGGAGGCAUUACAGCCAAUAGGAAGUUCUUGGGCUAAGUAGUGUUUCCUCUAAAAUGUGCCCUGAAACUUCUGUCUGCCAAGCAACAGAUAUAGUUGAGAGAUUGUAAAAUGUACUGUAGAAUGAAAGUCUCUCAAGACUACAUUUUUUUUUCUUGAUUUUGCAGGAAAACUAGGUGUUACUCCAGACUGCAGUUACAGGUGAGUAA